This is a long non-coding RNA of Schistocerca gregaria, 942 nucleotides long. RefSeq lists it as uncharacterized. NCBI's taxonomy places the organism in Eukaryota, Metazoa, Arthropoda, Insecta, Orthoptera, Acrididae. The transcript has 3 exons. The record is from RefSeq and is a predicted model, not a curated record.
CAAAUGCCAAGUCCUGGCAAACCCGCUUUACUGGCAUGAUAUGGCGCUGAGCAAUGCAGCAUCUGCUACUAUAGGAGUAAUCACCCAAGACACCUUGGUGAGUGGAAAUCCUUCCUGGAAAUUAACAUACAGAGCAACAUUGGAGAACUGUUUCUUCAUUAAUGCAUUUAUUUUGAGAACUUAUUGAGAAGAUUCAAUAUGGGAGACUGUAAAUCUAACAAGAUGUCAAUUGAAGCAAACCUCAGUGAAGAUUUUAGUGGAGACAUAGUUAAAAAUAAACUGCACAGAGAAGUGUCUGAUGUGUGCAGUGAUGGCUACAAGAUCAGAAAGUGCAUCAGUGGAGAAGACAGAAGAGCUACAACAUGAUAAAUAUACCAGACUUUCAAAAAUACUGUAUGCUGGGUAACCAAGGAGGAAGAUAUGUGUUUCACUAUCUACAACAAAAGCAGAAUAUGCUGCUUUUGCGAUAGCUUCAAGAGAAGUUUUGUUGCUGAUGGGUCCUCAUCAAGAAUUUAAAAUAUUUGUGAAGACUGAGUUUAUGAAAAGAAUCGCUCACAUGUGUGUGUGUGUGUGUGUGUAUGUAGAAGUGGGAGUGUUGUUGGCUGACUCAUGUGGAUAUUAAAUAGCACUUUAUAUGUCCAGUGUAUAAUGCUUAUGAUCAGUGAUGAACAUAUCUUUUUAUCUGUGUGAUAUCUUCAUAAAUAAAUAUUAUUACUUGUUAGAUUAACUUUGGUUUCUGUGUGGAGUAUCUAAAGCACAAGUCCUAGUUAUUACAAUAACAUGGCAUUAAAUAUCUGGAAGAAUUGUAAAGAAUGGAGGCUUUUAUCUAUCAAGAGGAAAAUUACUUUUUCACAAUAUGAUGAAGUUAUAUUUAAUUUCCUCUUUUUUUUAUUGCCCUUAUAAUCAUAAGCAAACUUAAGCAUUCCUCGGAAGACUAUCACU